UACGGGAGGCAGCAGUGGGGAAUAUUGCACAAUGGGCGAAAGCCUGAUGCAGCUAUGCCGCGUGUAUGAAGAAGGCCUUAGGGUUGUAAAGUACUUUCAUCGGGGAGGAAAAAACAAAACUAAUAAUUUUAUUUCUUGACGUUACCCGAAAAAGAAGCACCGGCUAACUCCGUGCCAGCAGCCGCGGUAAUACGGAGGGUGCUAGCGUUAAUCGGAAUUACUGGGCGUAAAGCGCACGCAGGCGGUCUGUCAAGUCGGAUGUGAAAUCCCCGGGCUUAACCUGGGAACUGCAUUCGAAACUGGCAGGCUAGAGUCUUGUAGAGGGGGGUAGAAUUCCAGGUGUAGCGGUGAAAUGCGUAGAGAUCUGGAGGAAUACCGGUGGCGAAGGCGGCCCCUGGGACAAAGACUGACGCUCAGGGUGCGAAAGCGUGGGGAGCAAACAGGGAUUAGAUACCCGU
Molecule: ribosomal RNA, 458 nt
Filed under: uncultured bacterium
Lineage: Bacteria
Description: bacterial SSU rRNA
Rfam family: Bacterial small subunit ribosomal RNA
Source: RNAcentral